Molecule: long non-coding RNA, 492 nt
Organism: Monopterus albus (swamp eel)
Lineage: Eukaryota; Metazoa; Chordata; Actinopteri; Synbranchiformes; Synbranchidae
Exons: 2
Source: RefSeq, a predicted model, not a curated record
UAACUUUAGUCCUUUUAUUUUUACAGGAAAGUGGAGAGAAUGGCACGGCACGAUGAGAUCCGCAGGAAGUAUGGUCUGAGCCGCGACUCGGACCACCCAUACAGCAAGUUUGAGAACGAAUGAAGCAGCUGUACUGGAGGAGUUCCACAGGCAGCACGUUGAGCUGCUCCUCAGUUUUAGCUUACUCUUGCCCAGGCUCAUACAAAGCACUCACCAAUGAGACAAACACUUGAGUGUUGUCCAGCAGAAUCAUCUGUUCUCACUUUUCAAAUAAAAAUGCUUAAUUUCAACUUGUGAUCCUUGAUGACGGUGCGAUGUUUUGUGUUGGACAGAUGCUGAAGCUUGUUUUUAAACUUGCAUCUGUGCAAAUUAAUUUUGUUCUCAAGUGUCAUUACAUGAAUUAUUGCUUUUUAGUUAUUGUAGUGUCAUAUUAAUCUUUUCACUUUGUACAUACAGUACAGUUAUGAAAUAAAGAUCUGUGAUUGUACCACA